Long non-coding RNA from Salvelinus sp. IW2-2015, 709 nucleotides. RefSeq lists it as uncharacterized. Lineage: Eukaryota; Metazoa; Chordata; Actinopteri; Salmoniformes; Salmonidae. The record is from RefSeq and is a predicted model, not a curated record.
UCUUGUUUUGUUGACGACAUUCUAAAUAAAAUAAUAUGUACGCUCAACACGCUGCACCUUGGUCCGGUCGUUUCCACCUAGAUGACGGCCGUGACAGGUGCAUUGUUUCAUGUCAGGUAGUUAGCUCAAACAUUAGGUUUCCCACCCAGUUUGGCUAGCUAGACCAGCUAGCUAGCUAUAUAUUUUACUAAGCUAGGCAUAUUCCCUGUCUCUGAGUUAAUGUAACAUGGUUGUAACUAGUUGGCAAGCUUAUAACUCAUGCUUUUAGUGACUAUUUUUUUUUGCCUAAUUGUUUAUAUUAGUUAGCUAGCUAGCUGGCUACGUAGUCUCAAUCUGGAUGCAGACASAGUUACUUUAGGUAGCUAUAGCUWGCUACAUAUUAAAAUGAAAGGAGUGUUUCAAUUGUUCACACAUGUUUAGGCUAUCCAUUUUGACUYUCCACUUAAUGGGUUAGCURACAUUGUCUUUGUCUCCCAGAUACUAAAGACRACAUAGCCCUGAGAGUGCUUCUCCAACCACCAGUGUACUGAGUGCAGGCUGGAACCAAUAUGGCUGAAUAUCUCYGCCAAGUGACCCAAAAAACAAGAUACCAAACCCUUCGUCCUGACUCUGGGGACAAUCGCCUGGCUUUCAUCAUCAUUGUUUAUCUUUUGCAUGACUUCAUUUUAUAGCUAAAAUGUAUUUCUUAAAAUAAACAUUUUGUAUUUUA